RNAcentral lists this ribosomal RNA (1592 nucleotides) under Triticum aestivum (bread wheat). RNAcentral's name for it is "partial small subunit ribosomal RNA". The record is from RNAcentral. Lineage: Eukaryota; Viridiplantae; Streptophyta; Magnoliopsida; Poales; Poaceae.
UCUCGCGCCGACCCCUGCCGAGGAGAGGAGAGGAGAGGCGGCGAUUCCCUUUUGGAUCUCUGAUAGGGGUUAGGGGUUAGGGUUAGCUCCUAGGUACCUGGGGUUAGGGCUGAGGUUUAGCUCCUACCUACUGCCGGGGUCGACCAGCGACAGCAGCGUUCGCAGAAGGCGCUGCAGGAGUGCUGGGCACCUGCCGCCCGGCCGCCGCGGCCGCUCCUUCUCCUUCGGCCCCUGCACCUCCUCCGAGGGCGCGUGGGACGGCGACCUUCACCUCGAGUCCUACUUCGACCCAAAGUAUUGCGUACUCCUCGACUCCGCCGUCGUGGACCGCGCGCGGCUCCUCGACCUCUCCUACCUGCUGUCGCCCACGCUGAGGCUCCUCCGGUUCCAGCGGAAGGCCCUGAAGUUCUUCCUCGUACAGGCGACCAUGGCGUUCGAGCGGCUCCCGACCGGCCUCUUAUAUCAGUAGUUGAUGCUGGGGUUCGGGUCGCUGUGUCUCCUUCUCAUGGAUUGGCGACUCCUGUACCUUCGUGCGAAGCGAGUAGCACUGGGGUGAAGCGAAGUGGAUCUUGUUGAAUUUGUGAAACGAUUGGAACGGAACCGCGUAAUGUUACGGUCUUUCUGGCUCCAUAAAUAACGCACGCGUCGUAUAAUUAGACGAUAUAUUGAGAUAACGAACUACGUGAUUACCCUAGAAGGAUUAUGUUAAUAGUUGAUAGUCGUGUUCAAGCUGUAAAGAGUUCGGAACUGCAGGUUGACGAAAAGGCUCCGUACACCUUGUUGUAUACGGGUACAAUUGAAGUGGCGGUUUGGGGUCUUCUCACUACUGGGAUGUUUCUCCGAGAAGAAGCGACUCGAGUACGAGUAAGGUUUCGAGGUCGACGUCCUUCUACGGCUCGGAUACGCACACGACGUACAGAGCUAAUAGCUACUACGAGGAACAAAACCGCCAACGGUACUCUAUAUAGCCUUAUAGUUGGUAUCCUACUCCCCGCGGUACCUAAUACUCGCAACAGUACGUACAGUGCUGUAAGACUUUGUAGGUUUUCCUCUAUACAAGUAGCCUCCCGUACUAUCGUGCUCCUACGGGAUGUAGAGACGUUGUAUCCUACACUUAACCAUGAUCAACCUCCAACUUUAGUGGUAGUGCUCACUACUGUAUUUACGGUAUUUAAAAACAGUAUAUACAACACUUGUGUAACUUUUAGUCGAGUACACACUACAAACGUAGGAAUCUUAAAUCUCAAUUUUAAUAACGAUACACUACACUACUGUAUUUAAUAACCGUACACUACAAACGUACAAAUGAGUAGUCUAUAAUAAACUUAAAGUACACACUACCUCACUUAUUAAACAGUACACAGUAGAUACGAACGGAUGUCAAAUCCCGCAACAAUUACGAUCAAACUUUAGUUUUAUACGAAGUUUGAUCUUUGAUGUGAACGACAAGAACCGCCCCGUAUUAGGAGUGGUUACUCGGAAACAGAUUACAAAGACGAGACCUUGUUUAUUAUAACCAGUAGUACGGACGGAUCGGACAAGUUGUCGUGAUAUAGAACAAAAUACAUUAACUACAAAUCGAGGUUAAGGGU